This is an unclassified non-coding RNA of Lingula anatina, 2931 nucleotides long. NCBI's taxonomy places the organism in Eukaryota, Metazoa, Brachiopoda, Lingulata, Lingulida, Lingulidae. The record is from RefSeq and is a predicted model, not a curated record.
GUGUGACAGGUCAACCAAAUACAACAAGCAGUCAGUAAAACAGGGGCAUUUUGAUCUUACCCGUGACCUUCAUUUGGACUGUUUAUUCACGUCUUUAGAUCAGCUGUGAGGACGUUAAAUUCACCAUUAACAUAUACCAGACACGGUAGGGAUUUUGAGCUGAUCAGGAUCACCAAACACAAUGGUAUUAUCGUCUUUACACUCCGUGUCAACGUCGCCGAAGAUCCAGAUGAAGUCGAUUUCAAACAGAAACUGCCAACAAUAGAAUCUGAAAACAAAGUGACGCUUCUAUCCAGUAAAUAUGAAUAUGUGUUGACUUCUUUUACUCAGCCUUGACCAAGACUCAUCCAUGCUAUACGAGGUGGCAUAUUUUCCUUCCUAACCCACCACGCUGCAAUAAGGGAACAACUUCCUGACGUAAAAGUGCAGACGAGAGAGACUACAGAAAUGAUUUGUUUUGAGUGUUACAGGGAUGUAACGUUACAAAUUCUGUUGAGUCAGAAUUGCUACAGGACAGACAAAAUGCCAUAUACAGGUGUAGUUAUAUUAAAGGUGCAAAUGAAGUCAAUUUUUGCCACAAAAGCCAACAAAUAUGUCGGCAUAUAGUUUCAAGUAGUAAAACUAAGAGAAUUACCAGAAGGCAUUGUUUAAUUUUAUCCGAAAAAUUAUAUUUGAACGGAUUUUUCUGCUAACAUUCUAUGUUGUAUAUCAAUGUGGCAGAAAAGUAAGUCACCAAAGUAGGUUUAAUUUCUGACCAAAAAUUUAAAGAAAUGAACUGUCAUAAGCUCUUUUAAGGCUGAUCGGGUGAUUUAUUCAGUUUAUCCCUUGGCAUGUUGAAUUUAUUUGAGUCGUAUAAGAAACUAGUAGAAGUGGUUUAUUUGCGUUACUGGGAAACCACUCCUCACCGCUGCUCGGUUCAUAUGUACCUUUAAAAGAACCUGCCUUUGUUCGUCAUGUUUACUUCUUGAAAACUUACUAUAGAAAGUUCAGUAGUGUUUUUAUCCUCCCUGUACAAGUAAAUGGAUAAAUACGGCCAUAUUUUGCUUUCAAAAAUAUCACAAAUAUUCCAUUGCUGAAAACCUACCUCGCAUCCCAUGUUUUUGUGCCGGUGUCACGUGUACGGCCCGUCACGAACUAUUCCUAAACUUAGUAGAAAAGAUUUAAGGAACUAAUAUCAGCUUCAGUUGAAAAACAAGUUUGAUUAGUUUAUUAUUUUGGAAGUUAUACAGUUACUUAGUAUACUUAUUAAGUCCAUUUUCUGUUUUUCUUAAUAUUUCCUUUCUGGUGCAAAAAAGAACAUCAUUCAGUUAAUUUAAAUGGAUAUAUGUGUUUUGUAAUUGUUGAUCUUCAGCGAUCUCUCUGGAAGAAAAAAAUAUAUUUUCCAAGAUGGUAUCUUGGUUACUAAAGGAAAGAAAAAAAAGAGAAAAAGAGCAGCUUAAGGUUGUACUUCUAUCUUGGAUUUCAUCUCUACCCCAGAAAAAGGAGAAAGAUUGAUAGUGAUUGUGCCUCAGGCCUUGGUCAGAGAAAUUUGCUCCAGAUAAAAAACUGUUUGCAGCAGCAUCCUCUUUCCAGGGGUAGUGUCAGUAUUAAAUUGGUAAUGCAUUUCAGUUUUAGUCAAUAAUUCUUCACAUUUUUUAAAAGUCAAAGGCAUAAUUGAGUUUAAGUAUAUUAUUUUUGGAGGUAUUAAUGUAGGCAUAUAAAACAUCAAAUUAGCUUGAAAUGUAAUUUUUACAUUAAAUUUUGAGAAAUUAAAUUUCUUUGAUGAUGUUUCUUAUAUGAAUUUUGCUCAGAUAAGGAGGCAUUUCUUAGACAAGAUUGAAGAUAAAGUGCUUGGUCUACCACAGAUGGGAAGUGAUGCAUUUGUACUGUUGAUUGAUAUUAUUCUUAGAUGAUCCUAUAAAACAAAUAAAAAUUAUCCAGUUAAAAGACUUAAACAAAAUAUUCAUUCCUUUUUGACUGAAACAGUAGGCCAUGUAAUUUUUUUAUUAUAGUGCAAUAGUAGAUGCCAUUGAAGAAAAAAUUCCGUACUUCCAAAAUGUGUUGAUGAAACCUGAGGCAAAAUUAUGUUUAAUUAAGUAGACACGCACAAUUUAUUUGUGAAGUAAAUGAUAAAAGAAUGUGUCUUUGUUUCAUAUUGCAGAAAAUGAGCCACCUAGAUAUAAGGAAACAUCUCGAAGUCAGUGUGUGGAGUCGGGUUCAGUACUGAGACAGUUGAAUUUUACAAUUUUGUUUUACACUGUGUUUCACAGCAUACGUGUUUCAUUCAGUUACUCAAAUAGCCUUUUGUGCUAUAAUGCACUGUUGCAUCAUCUUGGAUGAUUAGGCAAAUAAACUCGGUUUUAACAUUGUGCUUGUAAUGAUUAAUCCAUUUUUUGUUGUAUUUAAAUGCAGUGAUUUCUCAUUGUUUUUAUGUGAUAUUUAUUGUACAUCAUGAAUUACAAAUAUUUUGUCAUUUAGGGAAAAUAUACCCAGUUAACCCAAUUAAACAAGUUAGACUUUUUGUGUGUCAGUGUACUUGUGAAAAUGAUUUGGAAUUAUAUUUUUAUUACUGAAAUAUAUCAGUUUUGAUUCAUCAAUACUAAUUAGUGAUGUAUCUUCUUUUCAAUGGUACCAGUUUGUAUUUUGCAAUGUUGAAUUAAUUUCACAGUAUUGAUGGAGGCAGUGUAUCUCUUUUACACAUUUUGGUAACAUUUUUCUUUUUUCUUUUUUAGAUAUAUGAUUUUUUAGAUAUAUGAUGGUAGUUGCAGUUAAUAGUAAGUGAAUUUUUUUUUGUAUAUUCGGUCUGUGAUAUAUGAUAUCAUUUACCAUGUGCUGUCAAAUUGAAGGAUAUUCUGAAUUUUUUAUAUUGUACUUAUUAUUAUUAUUAUAACAACAAUAAUUAGAAUAUUGUUUGAUUUUUCACUUAUAUUCACUACUAAUGAAAUAUUGUAU